This 253-nucleotide ribosomal RNA is filed under the name uncultured bacterium. RNAcentral describes it as "partial 16S ribosomal RNA". It matches the Rfam family "Bacterial small subunit ribosomal RNA", at positions 524 to 776 of the family's 1533-position model. The record is from RNAcentral.
UACGGAGGAGGCAAGCGUUGUCCGGAAUUAUUGGGCGUAAAGCGUCCGUAGGUGGCGAUUCAAGUCUGCGGUCAAAGACUGGGGCUUAACCCUGGAAAGGCCGUGGAAACUGAAAAGCUAGAGUGCAGUAGGGGUAGAGGGAAUUCCCGGUGUAGCGGUGAAAUGCGUAGAGCUCGGGAAGAACAUCGGUGGCGAAGGCGCUCUGCUGGACUGCAACUGACACUCAGGGACGAAAGCUAGGGGAGCGAAUGGG